GUGAGUAAUGCCUAGGAAUCUGCCUGGUAGUGGGGGAUAACGUCCGGAAACGGGCGCUAAUACCGCAUACGUCCUGAGGGAGAAAGUGGGGGAUCUUCGGACCUCACGCUAUCAGAUGAGCCUAGGUCGGAUUAGCUAGUUGGUGGGGUAAAGGCCUACCAAGGCGACGAUCCGUAACUGGUCUGAGAGGAUGAUCAGUCACACUGGAACUGAGACACGGUCCAGACUCCUACGGGAGGCAGCAGUGGGGAAUAUUGGACAAUGGGCGAAAGCCUGAUCCAGCCAUGCCGCGUGUGUGAAGAAGGUCUUCGGAUUGUAAAGCACUUUAAGUUGGGAGGAAGGGCAGUAAGUUAAUACCUUGCUGUUUUGACGUUACCAACAGAAUAAGCACCGGCUAACUUCGUGCCAGCAGCCGCGGUAAUACGAAGGGUGCAAGCGUUAAUCGGAAUUACUGGGCGUAAAGCGCGCGUAGGUGGUUCAGCAAGUUGGAUGUGAAAUCCCCGGGCUCAACCUGGGAACUGCAUCCAAAACUACUGAGCUAGAGUACGGUAGAGGGUGGUGGAAUUUCCUGUGU
RNAcentral lists this ribosomal RNA (574 nucleotides) under Pseudomonas aeruginosa. RNAcentral's name for it is "bacterial SSU rRNA". It matches the Rfam family "Bacterial small subunit ribosomal RNA", at positions 106 to 676 of the family's 1533-position model. Lineage: Bacteria; Pseudomonadati; Pseudomonadota; Gammaproteobacteria; Pseudomonadales; Pseudomonadaceae. The record is from RNAcentral.